This 69-nucleotide transfer RNA is filed under the name Ancylodactylus africanus. RNAcentral's name for it is "tRNA-Trp". Lineage: Eukaryota; Metazoa; Chordata; Lepidosauria; Squamata; Gekkonidae. The record is from RNAcentral.
AGAAGUUUAGGCUAAACAAACCGCGGGCCUUCAAAGCCCGAACCAGAGACCACAACCCUCUAACUUCUG